GUUGAACGCUGGCAGCAUGCUUAACACAUCAGCGAUUGACUGGUGGCGGACGGGUGAGUAACGCGUAUAUAACUUGCCUCACAGGUAGGGACAACAUUUGGAAACGAAUGCUAAUACCUAAUCCUGUGAGAGAGAUUUGCGUCCAAUUAGCUAGUUGGUGAGGUAACGGCUCACCAAGGCGAUGAUGGGUAGCCAGCCUGAGAGGGUGAUCGGCCACAAGCGGACUGAGACACGGGCAUUAGUGCUACGUGAGGCAGCAGUGCGGAAUAGAGGAAAAUAGACCAAAGUAUGAACCAGCAAUUCGGUGUGUAAGAUGAAGUUUUGGGGAGGUAAAGUGCUUUCAGUUGGGAAGCGGUACCCACAGAAGAAGUGCCGGCUAAAUACGUGCCAGCAGCCGCGGUAAUAC
RNAcentral lists this ribosomal RNA (406 nucleotides) under uncultured bacterium. RNAcentral's name for it is "partial 16S ribosomal RNA". It matches the Rfam family "Bacterial small subunit ribosomal RNA", at positions 28 to 526 of the family's 1533-position model. The record is from RNAcentral.